This is a long non-coding RNA of Monodelphis domestica (gray short-tailed opossum), 1479 nucleotides long. The record is from Ensembl. Lineage: Eukaryota; Metazoa; Chordata; Mammalia; Didelphimorphia; Didelphidae.
CAGUGUGACACUUCCUCCCCCUUCCCCCAAGCUGAACUGUUAGCAAUGGAGUCAGUCUGGCUAGACUAAAGGAGGCUAAUGACCUUGUCAGCUGGGAAAUGGAACUAUUGGUAACUCCUUGGAAGUAAUGGUCACCCUUGACCCUAAUCCAGGAGCUUCGGAAUCCAGGAAGCCCAAAGAAUCCAGACAGCCUCAGCCAACAAACUCUUGAUCAUCUUUUAAGCAGAGAAUGGUGUCAGUUUGCCAAAGGUUCCAGAUGGCAAUGAUAUUCUACCUUUGGAAUGACACGAUUGUUGAACAAUACCAGAAGCUCUGCAGUCAUCUACUCGUUUCUAUUCCAGUGCAAUAUACUGGCAUUCUGGUCUUAUUUUUCCUUGCAAAACCCUGGGAUUUGGGGCUAGGUGAAUUGUACGUGAAGUUGCACAGUAGAAUCCAAUAAUCCUUAAAAUCCUUGAACACAGGGCUUUGGCGAUGCCUUUUGUUAAGUACUGUUUCAAAAAAAGACAAGUCUCAAUGGCAUUAAACAGUUGUUCUGGUAGGUAAUAUUUUUUUUCUCAAACAUUGUUUUCAACACGUUCUGAAACCAGCAGCAACUGUAGCAUCAACAUAACCAGUUUCACCAGGAAAUUUCAUAUUUUUAAAACCAUAGCUUAAAACGAUAAACCCAGCCUUGGCUAACUACAAAAGGAUUUGCAUUUUCUUGGCCCUUUAUUACAUGCCUCUACCUUUGUUGGACCUUCAAUAGCAACCACACUUUUUUGUUCCUCCACCAUUUCAUUUGCCCCUAAACUUAGAUGUUUUUCCAUUUUUAAAGUUCUCUUGUAUACUUAAAAGGUUGCUCUAGCACUUUCUGGAGUGGAUUCUCAAAUACUUUAAUCUACUUAAAAUUUUUAUUUAUUUAGAAAAAAACCUUGUUCCCUUCCUACUUAGAAUCAAUGCUGUGUAUUGGUUCCAAGGCAAAAGAAUAGUAAGGACUAGGCAAUGGGGAUUAAGUGACUUGCCCAGGAUCACACAGGUAGGAAAUAUGUGAGGUCAGAUUUGUAACCAUAACAAACACUUUUAUGAAGUUUCCUUCUUUUUGUUCUCACUAAGCCUCAUCACUGACUUUGCGUGCUUCAGCUUAGAGCCUAAAGGACUUACACGUUCUUUGGGGGCAUGAUUACAACACAAAACUUGAGUUUUAAAGGCAAACAAUGAAAAUAUACAGCAAAUGCACAGGAAGGGUCUUUAAAACAACAGAGUGGUUGAGACCAAUGGAGCUCCUACCAGGAUACCAGCCACUCCAUAAACUUGUGGCAUCCUACCUCUCAUUUUUAUCUCUACUCCACAUAGCUGCAAAUGUGUGGGGUUGUCAAUGAAAGUGAAAAUGAGGUCAUGGAUACUUGAACUCUCCAAAGUUAAACCUCUGAAUGUUGAAGAUUGACAGUAGGUAGUUAUUUGGGGGAAAGAAUGGGAAUAAAGUCUCUAGAAGGGGGGACA